Molecule: ribosomal RNA, 301 nt
Filed under: uncultured bacterium
Lineage: Bacteria
Description: partial 16S ribosomal RNA
Rfam family: Bacterial small subunit ribosomal RNA
Source: RNAcentral
CAGUCGCCGCGGGAAUACGAAGGGUGCAAGCGUUAAUCGGAAUUACUGGGCGUAAAGCGCGCGUAGGUGGUUUGGUAAGAUGGAUGUGAAAUCCCCGGGCUCAACCUGGGAACUGCAUCCAUAACUGCCUGACUAGAGUACGGUAGAGGGUGGUGGAAUUUCCUGUGUAGCGGUGAAAUGCGUAGAUAUAGGAAGGAACACCAGUGGCGAAGGCGACCACCUGGACUGAUACUGACACUGAGGUGCGAAAGCGUGGGGAGCAAACAGGAUUAGAUACCCCCGUAGUCCCUGUCUCUUAUAC